This 484-nucleotide ribosomal RNA is filed under the name uncultured bacterium. Its description in RNAcentral is "partial 16S ribosomal RNA". It matches the Rfam family "Bacterial small subunit ribosomal RNA", at positions 28 to 523 of the family's 1533-position model. The record is from RNAcentral.
AAUGAACGCUGGCGGCGUGCUUAACACAUGCAAGUCGAACGGAAAGGCCCUGCUUUUGUGGGGUGCUCGAGUGGCGAACGGGUGAGUAACACGUGAGUAACCUGACCUUGACUUUGGGAUAACUUCAGGAAACUGGGGCUAAUACCGGAUCGGAGCUCCUGCUGCAUGGUGGGGGUUGGAAAGUUUCGGCGGUUGGGGAUGGACUCGCGGGUUAUCAGCUUGUUGGUGGGGUAGUGGCUUACCAAGGCUUUGACGGGUAGCAGGCCUGAGAGGGUGACCUUCCACAUUGCGACUGGGAUACGGCUCAGGCCCCUACGGGAGGCAGGAGUGGGGAAUAUUACACAAUGGGCGGAAGCCUGAUGCAGCAACGCCGCGUGCGGGAUGACGGCCUUCGGGUUGUAAACCGCUUUCUCAUGUGACGAAGCGUGAGUGACGGUAAUGGGUAAAGAAGCACCGGCUAACUACGUGCCAGCAGCCGCCGUAA